RNAcentral lists this ribosomal RNA (849 nucleotides) under Psammina sp. 2 MaH-2019. RNAcentral's name for it is "SSU rRNA". It matches the Rfam family "Eukaryotic small subunit ribosomal RNA", at positions 1160 to 1676 of the family's 1831-position model. The record is from RNAcentral. Lineage: Eukaryota; Foraminifera; Psamminidae.
AAGGGCACCACAAGAACGCGUGGAGCAUGUGGCUUAAUUUGACUCAACGCGGGAAAUCUUACCGGGUCCGCACAAACUGAGGAUUGACAGGUAAUUUAUGACCAGUUUUCACUUUUACGUAGUACUGCUAGCCCUUUCAUAAUAGUAUGUUAUGUGGUGCAUGGCCGUUCUUAGUUCGUGGAGUGAUUUGUCUGCUCAAUUGCGUUUUGUGUAGAAUUUAAGAUAAAGUUGUCUGUUUAUAUAUGAACGGUUUAUAUAAUAUAUAGAUUUGUUCUAAUAGAUAUUGAUAAGUAUUAAAUUCUCAAUGCAACGAACGUGACCGCAACCUUUUGUUUAAUGUAAUUUAUAUUUUGAUUAAUAUAGUUAUAUACAACUAGAGGGACUGCUGUGUUUUUAUAAACCAGAGGAAGGACGCGGCAAUAACAGGUCUGUGAUGCCCUUAGAUGUUCCGGGCUGCACACGUGCUACAAUGAUUAUUGCAGUGAGCAUCUCAUUUUUCCUGUUUGAUUAACCAUUCUUAUUCAAGUAAUAUUUGGUUAAGAUUAACAGUGAGACUUGCUUCGAAAGAUUGCAAGUAAGCAUUUUUAAGUAAUGAUUUCCUUAAUUCAAAUUAUAGUUUGAUUUUAUAAACACGCGAUAUACUGCAUCUAUCUUUCUCAGUAGAAUGUUUUUUCGUUUUUCUGUUAUACAUUAAGAUUGUGAUGUUCAGUAUGUGUUUUUUGUUAAUUCAUGGUGGGGACAGACCAUUGUAAAUUAUUGGUCUCGGUCUUAACUAGGAAUGCCUUGUACGGGUUUUUGGUUCAACAAACCACCCGGAAUACGUCCCUGCCCUUUGUACACACCGCCCGU